AAGUAGAGGCGCGACGAUCAUUAGUAGCAUGCCGGAUGGUGCUGACUGCCGGAGAGGGUGUGCGAAAGGGAGAGUUGCCGAAGUGGGACCGGUGGUCAGACCGGUUUUGCUGGGCCUGUGGUUAAGAGCUGCAGGACUGUCACCGGCGAGGGAGUCCGGUGGAGUGCUACUUC
RNAcentral lists this non-coding RNA (173 nucleotides) under uncultured Eubacterium sp. RNAcentral's name for it is "Lysine riboswitch". It matches the Rfam family "Lysine riboswitch aptamer". Rfam says of the family: Riboswitches are metabolite binding domains within certain messenger RNAs that serve as precision sensors for their corresponding targets. Allosteric rearrangement of mRNA structure is mediated by ligand binding, and this results in modulation of gene expression. This family includes riboswitches that sense lysine in a number of genes involved in lysine metabolism, including lysC. The record is from RNAcentral. Lineage: Bacteria; Bacillati; Bacillota; Clostridia; Eubacteriales; Eubacteriaceae.